UGCCAGACUCCUACGGGAGGCAGCAGUCGGGAAUAUUGCGCAAUGGAGGAAACUCUGACGCAGUGACGCCGCGUAUAGGAAGAAGUUUUUCGGAAUGUAAACUAUUGUCGUUAGGGAAGAGAAAGGACAGUACCUAAGGAGGAAGCUCCGGCUAACUACGUGCCAGCAGCCGCGGUAAUACGUAGGGAGCGAGCGUUAUCCGGAAUUAUUGGGUGUAAAGGGUGCGUAGACGGGAAAUUAAGUUAGUUGUGAAAUCCCUCGGCUUAACUGAGGAACUGCAACUAAAACUGGUUUUCUUGAGUACUGGAGAGGAAAGUGGAAUUCCUAGUGUAGCGGUGAAAUGCGUAGAUAUUAGGAGGAACACCAGUGGCGAAGGCGGCUUACUGGACUGUAACUGACGUUGAGGCUCGAAAGCGUGGGGAGCAAACAGGAUUAGAUACCCCCGUAU
RNAcentral lists this ribosomal RNA (448 nucleotides) under uncultured bacterium. RNAcentral's name for it is "bacterial SSU rRNA". It matches the Rfam family "Bacterial small subunit ribosomal RNA", at positions 329 to 793 of the family's 1533-position model. The record is from RNAcentral.